Molecule: ribosomal RNA, 294 nt
Filed under: uncultured bacterium
Lineage: Bacteria
Description: partial 16S ribosomal RNA
Rfam family: Bacterial small subunit ribosomal RNA
Source: RNAcentral
GGAUUAGAUACCCUGGUAGUCCACACCGUAAACGCUGUCUACUAGCUGUUUGUGGAUGUAUAUCUGUGAGUAGCGAAGCUAACGCGCUAAGUAGACCGCCUGGGGAGUACGGCCGCAAGGUUAAAACUCAAAUGAAUUGACGGGGGCCCGCACAAGCGGUGGAGCAUGUGGUUUAAUUCGAUGCAACGCGAAGAACCUUACCUACACUUGACAUGCAGAGGAGAUUCCAGAGAUGGAAUUGUGCCUUCGGGAACUCUGACACAGGUGCUGCAUGGCUGUCGUCAGCUCGUGCCG